CAGCGCCACGGUAAUACGAAGGUCCCGAGCGUUGUUCGGAAUCACUGGGCGUAAAGGGAGCGUAGGCGGCGUGGUAAGUCAGAUGUGAAAUCCCGGGGCUCAACCCCGGAACUGCAUCCGAUACUGCCAUGCUAGAGGAUUGGAGAGGUAGCUGGAAUUCUUGGUGUAGCAGUGAAAUGCGUGGAGAUCAAGAGGAACACUCGUGGCGAAAGCGAGCUACUGGACAAUAACUGACGCUGAGGCUCGAAGGCCAGGGUAGCGAAAGGGAUUAGAUACCCCAGUAGUCCCUGUCUCUUAUAAA
This 301-nucleotide ribosomal RNA is filed under the name uncultured bacterium. Its description in RNAcentral is "partial 16S ribosomal RNA". It matches the Rfam family "Bacterial small subunit ribosomal RNA", at positions 509 to 809 of the family's 1533-position model. The record is from RNAcentral.